Molecule: ribosomal RNA, 555 nt
Filed under: uncultured bacterium
Lineage: Bacteria
Description: partial 16S ribosomal RNA
Source: RNAcentral
AUAACGCUUGCCACCUACGUAUUACCGCGGCUGCUGGCACGUAGUUAGCCGUGGCUUUCUGAUUAGGUACCGUCAAGAUGUGCACAGUUACUUACACAUAUGUUCUUCCCUAAUAACAGAGUUUUACGAUCCGAAGACCUUCAUCACUCACGCGGCGUUGCUCCGUCAGGCUUUCGCCCAUUGCGGAAGAUUCCCUACUGCUGCCUCCCGUAGGAGUCUGGACCGUGUCUCAGUUCCAGUGUGGCCGAUCACCCUCUCAGGUCGGCUAUGCAUCGUUGCCUUGGUAAGCCGUUACCUUACCAACUAGCUAAUGCAGCGCGGAUCCAUCUAUAAGUGACAGCAAGACCGUCUUUCACUUUUGAACCAUGCGGUUCAAAAUAUUAUCCGGUAUUAGCUCCGGUUUCCCGAAGUUAUCCCAGUCUUAUAGGUAGGUUAUCCACGUGUUACUCACCCGUCCGCCGCUAACAUCAGAGAAGCAAGCUUCUCGUCCGUUCGCUCGACUUGCAUGUAUUAGGCACGCCGCCAGCGUUCAUCCUGAGCCAGGAUCAAACCCUC